GCCCCAGUGGCGGAAUUGGUAGACGCGGUAGACUCAAAAUCUAUUGCCCGCAAGGGCGUGCCUGUUCGAGUCAGGCCUGGGGCACCA
RNAcentral lists this transfer RNA (87 nucleotides) under Hyphomicrobiaceae bacterium. Its description in RNAcentral is "tRNA-Leu". It matches the Rfam family "tRNA". Rfam says of the family: Transfer RNA (tRNA) molecules are approximately 80 nucleotides in length. Their secondary structure includes four short double-helical elements and three loops (D, anti-codon, and T loops). Further hydrogen bonds mediate the characteristic L-shaped molecular structure. tRNAs have two regions of fundamental functional importance: the anti-codon, which is responsible for specific mRNA codon recognition, and the 3' end, to which the tRNAs corresponding amino acid is attached (by aminoacyl-tRNA synthetases). tRNAs cope with the degeneracy of the genetic code in two manners: having more than one tRNA (with a specific anti-codon) for a particular amino acid; and 'wobble' base-pairing, i.e. permitting non-standard base-pairing at the 3rd anti-codon position. Lineage: Bacteria; Pseudomonadati; Pseudomonadota; Alphaproteobacteria; Hyphomicrobiales; Hyphomicrobiaceae. The record is from RNAcentral.